Molecule: ribosomal RNA, 305 nt
Filed under: uncultured bacterium
Lineage: Bacteria
Description: bacterial SSU rRNA
Rfam family: Bacterial small subunit ribosomal RNA
Source: RNAcentral
GCACCUACGGGACGCAGCAGUGGGGGAUAUUGCACAAUGGGGGAAACCCUGAUGCAGCGACGCCGCGUGAGCGAUGAAGUAUUUCGGUAUGUAAAGCUCUAUCAGCAGGGAAGAAAAUGACGGUACCUGACUAAGAAGCCCCGGCUAACUACGUGCCAGCAGCCGCGGUAAUACGUAGGGGGCACGCGUUAUCCGGAUUUACUGGGUGUAAAGGGAGCGUAGACGGCAGUGAAAGUCUGAAGUGAAAGGCAAGGGCUCAACCCUUGGACUGCUUUGGAAACUGUGCUGCUGGAGGGUCGGAGCGG